GAUGAAGAACGCAGCGAAAUGCGAUACGUGGUGUGAAUUGCAGAAUCCCGUGAACCAUCGAGUCUUUGAACGCAAGUUGCGCCUCAAGCCAUUAGGUUGAGGGCACGUCUGCCUGGGCGUCACAUAUCGUUGCCUGAUGCCAGUUUCCUCGUGAUGGGGGACUGUGCAGGGCGAAUGAUGGCUUCCCGUGAGCAUUGUUGCCUCAUGGUUGGUUGAAAAUUGAGUCCUUGGUAGGGAGCGCCGUGAUAGAUGGUGGUUGAGUGACGAACGAGACCCAAUCAUGUGAGACCCCUACCGAAUUUGGCCUUCAUGACCCACAUGCGUCUUUGGAACGCUCAUGACGAGACCUCAGGUCAGGCGGGGCUACCCGCUGAGUUUAAGCAUAUCAAUAAGCGGAGGA
This 400-nucleotide unclassified non-coding RNA is filed under the name soil metagenome. RNAcentral describes it as "partial contains 5.8S ribosomal RNA, internal transcribed spacer 2, and large subunit ribosomal RNA". The stretch from base 1 to 122 matches the Rfam family "5.8S ribosomal RNA", at positions 35 to 154 of the family's 154-position model. The record is from RNAcentral.